This 460-nucleotide ribosomal RNA is filed under the name uncultured bacterium. RNAcentral describes it as "partial 16S ribosomal RNA". It matches the Rfam family "Bacterial small subunit ribosomal RNA", at positions 338 to 795 of the family's 1533-position model. The record is from RNAcentral.
CCUACGGGAGGCAGCAGUGAGGAAUAUUGGUCAAUGGGCGGACGCCUGAACCAGCCAAGUCGCGGGAGGGAAGACUGCCCUAUGGGUUGUAAACCUCUUUUGUCAGGGAGCAAGUGGCGCUACGUGUAGCGUUAUCGAGAGUACCUGAAGAAAAAGCAGCGGCUAACUCCGUGCCAGCAGCCGCGGUAAUACGGGGGAUGCGAGAGUUAUCCGGAUUUAUGGGGUUGAAAGGGUGCGUAGGCGGAAUGCCAAGUCAGCGGUAAAAUCGCGGGGCUCAACCUCGCUCCGCCGUUGAAACUGGCGUUCUUGAGUGGGCGUGAGGUCUGCGGAAUGCGUGGUGUAGCGGUGAAAUGCAUCGCUCUCACGCAGAACUCCGAUUGCGAAGGCAGCAUACCGGCGCCCAACUGACGCUGACGCACGAAAGCGUGGGUAUCGAACAGGAUUAGAUCCCCGGGUAGUC